AACGAACGCUGGCGGCAGGCUUAACACAUGCAAGUCGAACGAGAUCUUCGGAUCUAGUGGCGCACGGGUGAGUAACGCGUGGGAAUCUACCUUGGAGUCUGGGAUAACAGUUGGAAACGACUGCUAAUACCGGAUACGCCCUUAGGGGGAAAGGUUUACUGCUCCGAGAUGAGCCCGCGUCCAAUUAGGUAGUUGGUGAGGUAAAGGCUCACCAAGCCGACGAUUGGUAGCUGGUCUGAGAGGAUGACCAGCCACACUGGGACUGAGACACGGCCCAGACUCCUACGGGAGGCAGCAGUGGGGAAUAUUGGACAAUGGGGGCAACCCUGAUCCAGCCAUGCCGCGUGAGUGAUGAAGGCCUUAGGGUUGUAAAGCUCUUUCGCCGGUGACGAUGAUGACGGUAACCGGAGAAGAAGCCCCGGCUAACUUCGUAG
This 434-nucleotide ribosomal RNA is filed under the name uncultured bacterium. Its description in RNAcentral is "bacterial SSU rRNA". It matches the Rfam family "Bacterial small subunit ribosomal RNA", at positions 29 to 508 of the family's 1533-position model. The record is from RNAcentral.